Oncorhynchus keta (chum salmon) is the source of this 929-nucleotide long non-coding RNA. RefSeq lists it as uncharacterized. The record is from RefSeq and is a predicted model, not a curated record. The transcript has 4 exons. Lineage: Eukaryota; Metazoa; Chordata; Actinopteri; Salmoniformes; Salmonidae.
GACACAAGAGGUGAGAGGGAGAUGAGAGGGAGAGAUGAGAGGGAGAGGUGAGAGGGAGAUGAGAGGGAGAGAGAGGGAGAGUGAGAGGAACAGGAAGUAAUGUAGAGAGAGGAGAACAUGAGGUAAUGGAGAGAGAGGGGAACAUGAGGUAAUGGAGAGAGAGGGGAACAUGAGGUAAUGGAGAGAGAGGGGAACAUGAGGUAAUGGAGAGAGAGGGGAACAGGAGGUAAUGGAGAGAGAGGGGAACAGGAGGUAAUGGAGAGAGAGGGGAACAGGAGGUAAUGGAGAGAGAGGGGAACAGGAGGUAAUGGAGAGAGAGGGGAACAUGAGGUAAUGGAGAGAGAGGGGAACAGGAGGUAAUGGAGAGAGAGGGGAACAUGAGGUAAUGGAGAGAGAGGGGAACAGGAGGUAAUGGAGAGAGAGGGGAACAGGAGGUAAUGGAGAGAGAGAGGAACAGGAGGUAAUGGAGAGAGAGGGGAACAGGAGGUAAUGGAGAGAGAGGGGAACAGGAGGUAAUGGAGAGAGAGGGGAACAGGAGGUAAUGGAGAGAGAGGGGAACAGGAGGUAAUGGAGAGAGAGAGGAACAGGAGGUAAUGGAGAGAGAGGGGAACAGGAGGUAAUGGAGAGAGAGAGGAACAGGAGGUAAUGGAGAGAGAGGGGAACAGGAGGUAAUGGAGAGAGAGGGGAACAGGAGGUAAUGGAGAGAGAGAGGAACAGGAGGUAAUGGAGAGAGAGGGGAACAGGAGGUAAUGGAGAGAGAGAGGAACAGGAGGUAAUGGAGAGAGAGGGGAACAGGAGGUAAUGGAGAGAGAGAGGAACAUGAGGUAAUGGAGAGUAGUAGCAGAUAGUAUGUAUCCCAAAUCUCUCCUUUCUCCCGAAGUGUGCACUUGUUCACUUCCCUUCACAAAAGGAAAUAACAGUUAUAUGGA